AGCCCGGUGGUGUAGUGGCCAAACACGUGGGCUCAGCAUACGGGGCUUUGGACCCCGUGACCCCAGACGCCGGGGACUUCGAAUCUGGGCCGGGCUACCA
RNAcentral lists this transfer RNA (100 nucleotides) under Candidatus Freyarchaeota archaeon. RNAcentral describes it as "tRNA-Gln". Lineage: Archaea; Promethearchaeati; Candidatus Freyarchaeota. The record is from RNAcentral.